Molecule: ribosomal RNA, 484 nt
Filed under: uncultured bacterium
Lineage: Bacteria
Description: partial 16S ribosomal RNA
Rfam family: Bacterial small subunit ribosomal RNA
Source: RNAcentral
AUUGAACGCUGGCGGCAGGCCUAACACAUGCAAGUCGAGCGGAUGAAGGGGGCUUGCUCCUGGAUUCAGCGGCGGACGGGUGAGUAAUGCCUAGGAAUCUGCCUUGUCGUUGGGGAUGACGUCCGGAAACGGGCGCUAAUACCGCAUACGUCCUGAGGUAGAAAGUGGGGGUUCUUCGGACCUAGCGCUAUCAGAUGAGCCUAGGACGGAUUAGCUAGUUGGUGGGGUAAAGGCCUACCAAGGCGACGAUCCGAAACUGGCCUGAGAGGGUGAUCAGCCACACUGGAACUGAGACACGGUCCAGACUCCUACGGGAGGCAGCAGUGGGGAAUCUUGGGCAAUGGGCGAAAGCCUGAUCCAGCCACGCCGCGUGUGUGAAGAAGGUCUUCGGAUUGUAAAGCACUUUAAGUUGGGAGGAAGGGCAGUAAGUUAAUACCUUGCUGUUUUGACGGUACCAACAGAAUAAGCACCGGCUAACUUCGUG